This 253-nucleotide ribosomal RNA is filed under the name uncultured bacterium. RNAcentral describes it as "partial 16S ribosomal RNA". It matches the Rfam family "Bacterial small subunit ribosomal RNA", at positions 524 to 776 of the family's 1533-position model. The record is from RNAcentral.
UACGUAUGGUGCGAACGUUGUUCGGAAUCACUGGGCAUAAAGAGCACGUAGGCGGUCAAGCAAGUCCAUUGUGAAAUCCCCCGGCCUAACCGGGGAACUGCAUUGGAUACUACUUGACUUGAGUGCAGGAGGGGAGAGUGGAAUUCCAGGUGGAGCGGUGAAAUGCGUAGAUAUCUGGAGGAACGCCGGCGGCGAAAGCGACUCUCUGGUCUGUAACUGACGCUGAGGUGCGAAAGCUAGGGGAGCAAACGGG